GAUGAACGCUGGCGGCGCGCCUAACACAUGCAAGUCGAACGAUUAAAGCACCUUCGGGUGUGUAUAAAGUGGCGAACGGCUGAGUAACACGUGGGCAACCUGCCCCUUUCAUUGGGAUAGCCACGGGAAACCGUGGAUAAUACCGAAUACUUCGAGACUUCCGCAUGGAAGACUCGAGAAAGCUCCGGCGGAGAGGGAUGGGCCCGCGGCCUGUUAGCUUGUUGGUGGGGUAACGGCCUACCAAGGCAAUGAAGGGUAGCUGGGUUGAGAGACCGACCAGCCAGCUUGGGACUGAGAGACGGCCCAGACUCCUACGGGAGGCAGCAGUGGGGAAUCUUGCGCAAUGGGCGAAAGCCUGAUGCAGCGACGCCGCGUGCGGGAUGAAGGCCUUCGGGUUGUAAACCGCUUUCAGCAGGGACGAGGCGAAAGUGACGGUACCUGCAGAAGAAGCCCCGGCUAACUACGUG
Molecule: ribosomal RNA, 467 nt
Filed under: uncultured bacterium
Lineage: Bacteria
Description: partial 16S ribosomal RNA
Rfam family: Bacterial small subunit ribosomal RNA
Source: RNAcentral